GACGAACGCUGGCGGCAUGCCUAACACAUGCAAGUCGAACGAGACCUUCGGGUCUAUUGGCGCACGGGUGCGUAACGCGGGGGAACCUGCCCUUAGGUUCGGAAUAACUCCCCGAGAGGGAUGCUAAGACCGGAUAAUGUCUUCGGACCAAAGAUUUAUCGCCUUUGGAUGGGCCCGUGUUGGAUUAGCUGGUUGGUAGGGUAAAAGCCUACCAAGGCGAGGAUCCAUAGCUGGUAUGAGAGGAUGAUCCGCCAGACUUGGACUGAGACACGGACCAGAAUCCUACGGGAGGCAGGAGUGUGGAAUAUUGGACACUGGGCGCAAGCCUGAUCCAGCAAUGCGGCGGGAGUGAUCAAGGCCUUAGGGUUGUAAAGCUCUCUUACCCGGGAUGAUAAUGACAGUACCGGGAGAAUAAGCUCCGGCUAACUCCGUG
This 433-nucleotide ribosomal RNA is filed under the name uncultured bacterium. RNAcentral describes it as "partial 16S ribosomal RNA". It matches the Rfam family "Bacterial small subunit ribosomal RNA", at positions 28 to 507 of the family's 1533-position model. The record is from RNAcentral.